UACCGAGUGCGGGUCCUUUGGGCCAACCUCCCAUCCGUGUCUAUUGUACCCUGUUGCUUCGGCGGGCCCGCCGCUUGUCGGCCGCCGGGGGGGCGCCUCUGCCCCCCGGGCCCGUGCCCGCCGGAGACCCCAACACGAACACUGUCUGAAAGCGUGCAGUCUGAGUUGAUUGAAUGCAAUCAGUUAAAACUUUCAACAAUGGAUCUCUUGGUUCCGGCAUCGAUGAAGAACGCAGCGAAAUGCGAUAACUAAUGUGAAUUGCAGAAUUCAGUGAAUCAUCGAGUCUUUGAACGCACAUUGCGCCCCCUGGUAUUCCGGGGGGCAUGCCUGUCCGAGCGUCAUUGCUGCCCUCAAGCCCGGCUUGUGUGUUGGGUCGCCGUCCCCCUCUCCGGGGGGACGGGCCCGAAAGGCAGCGGCGGCACCGCGUCCGAUCCUCGAGCGUAUGGGGCUUUGUCACAUGCUCUGUAGGAUUGGCCGGCGCCUGCCGACGUUUUCCAACCAUUCUUUCCAGGUUGACCUCGGAUCACGUAGGGAUACCCGCUGAACUUAAGCAUA
This 555-nucleotide ribosomal RNA is filed under the name uncultured fungus. RNAcentral's name for it is "eukaryotic LSU rRNA". The stretch from base 188 to 341 matches the Rfam family "5.8S ribosomal RNA". Lineage: Eukaryota; Fungi. The record is from RNAcentral.